CAGGCCUAACACAUGCAAGUCGAACGAGGUCCUUCGGGGCCUAGUGGCGCACGGGUGCGUAACGCGUGGGAAUCUGCCCUUGGGUCUGGGAUAACAGUUGGAAACGACUGCUAAUACCGGAUGAUAUCGCGAGAUCAAAGAUUUAUCGCCUGAGGAUGAGCCCGCGUCGGAUUAGCUUGUUGGUGGGGUAAAGGCCUACCAAGGCGACGAUCCGUAGCUGGUCUGAGAGGAUGAUCAGCCACACUGGGACUGAGACACGGCCCAGACUCCUACGGGAGGCAGCAGUGGGGAAUAUUGGACAAUGGGCGAAAGCCUGAUCCAGCAAUGCCGCGUGAGUGAUGAAGGCCUUAGGGUUGUAAAGCUCUUUUACCCGGGAUGAUAAUGACAGUACCGGGAGAAUAAGCCCCGGCUAACUCCGUGCCAGCAGCCGCGGUAAU
Molecule: ribosomal RNA, 437 nt
Filed under: uncultured bacterium
Lineage: Bacteria
Description: bacterial SSU rRNA
Rfam family: Bacterial small subunit ribosomal RNA
Source: RNAcentral